RNAcentral lists this long non-coding RNA (210 nucleotides) under Lathyrus oleraceus (garden pea). RNAcentral's name for it is "Pisum sativum (pea) long non-coding RNA (PSAT_LNC009377)". The record is from RNAcentral. Lineage: Eukaryota; Viridiplantae; Streptophyta; Magnoliopsida; Fabales; Fabaceae.
UGCAACAACACUUCUUUGUCCUCUUUUUCUGCAACCAACCAAAAAACCCCAUCAAAAUCUCAUCCACCUCCUUCAAUUUCUCAGCCACACCUAUAAGCCGUCUCCGACCCUUCAUUAACUCUCACCCCAAACUAAAUACACGGUCACCAUGAGCACAAACCGACCGGGACCACCCUUUGAGCACCACCGACCGAGCUCCACAAAUAAAAC